This is a long non-coding RNA of Eriocheir sinensis (Chinese mitten crab), 1360 nucleotides long. RefSeq lists it as uncharacterized. The transcript is spliced from 3 exons. The record is from RefSeq and is a predicted model, not a curated record. NCBI's taxonomy places the organism in Eukaryota, Metazoa, Arthropoda, Malacostraca, Decapoda, Varunidae.
CCACCAUCUUCAUUCUUUCAUCCCUAUUCUAUCCAAAUCCCUUAUGCAAGAGUCAAACAGCAUCUUCAUUAUUUCAUCCCUGUACUGUCCAAAUUCCUUAUACAAGAGUUUACCAGCAUCUUCAUUCUUUUAUCCCUUCCACUGGUAAACUCUGAAACAGCAAUAGCCUCCCUUUGUCUGUAUUUUUACUCCUGCUCAUCCCUAUACUAUCCUGAUCCCUUAUGCAAGAGUUGAGCAGCAGCAUCUUCAUUCCUUCAUCCAGCAGGGAGUUCUCCAGGCACACGCCAGCAUUGCCGCCAAGGACUUCACACUGCACUGCCCGAAACACCCGUCGAGGGUGAUGAGGAUGAGGAGACAGUCAAGAUUGUGCAGUGGGUGAAGAGCAAUGAGCCAAUGGGAGCCACCAUCAAGCAGGACGACCACUCCGGAGCCAUCAUCAUCACCCGCAUCAUGCAUGGCUGACUGCUCCGGCCUCAUCCAUGCUGCCGACGAGGUGCAGGGGUCAACACCUUCAAUGUGGAGGGCAAGACACCGGCGGAUGUCCACAAGAUGCUGGUGCAGGCGGAGGGCACCAUGACCUUCAGGCUGCUCCCGGCCAGCAGCUCGGUGCACCUCAGGGAGAGCAAGGUGAGGGUGCACGCCUACUUCCACUAUGACCCCAAGGAGGACAACAAGCACAUUCCCUGCAAGGAAGCCGGGCUGCCCUUCAACAAGCUGGACAUCCUGCACAUUGUGACCCAGGAUGACCCCUACUGGUAAGCCCUGGUGACCUCAUAAUGAAGCUUUGUGGCUCUCAGGUGAUCCAGUGUCCCGCUUGGCCUGCCCCACUCAUGGGGAGCUAUGCGGCUCAGGCCAACUGAGUGCUGGUGUGUGACAUUGCCCCUGCAGCACCCUGCUAGACCAGAGGACUUGACCGCUGCAGUGGUGCAUUCCGUCCACUGGUGAGUCACACAGCUCCCCGUGGGUGUGGGGGUGAAACACACUGACACUGGAUCAGCUGGGCGCACCAAACACAGCGUUCCACACAGCAGCCCCAUCACAGUGCUCCCCCAGCAGCUCUUAUAGGCGACCCUUUACUGAAAACAACAAUCACAGUCAAAGGAAACAUUUGUAGAAGGUGCUGCAAAGGUGUCACUGGCCACUCACAUAACUACAUCGUCUGCCUUAUGUACAAACACUGCCCCCCGUCUGCACAACAACAGGCCAGCCCGAGGCAGGGCUGCUGCAGCACCAGAGGGGGCUGCCGUGUGUCUCGCUGGGUGUGGUGGUGGGGGUGGCAGUGGUCACGGUGGCAGAGGUCUGGGCUUUCAGUGAGCAAACACACUCCCAACAUCUGUAUUCAAUAGAGAGCACACACAGU